This is a small nuclear RNA of Phyllostomus discolor (pale spear-nosed bat), 102 nucleotides long. The record is from RefSeq and is a predicted model, not a curated record. NCBI's taxonomy places the organism in Eukaryota, Metazoa, Chordata, Mammalia, Chiroptera, Phyllostomidae.
CUGCUUCUGCAGCAUAUAUACUAAAAUUAAAGUGGUACACAGAAGAUUAGCAUGGUUCCUGCAAAGGAUGAUGUGCAAAUUAAAAAGGAAAAAGGAAAAAAA